AUCUGAGGCCACGCUGCCCUGAAGGCGCCCGAUCUCGUCUGGUCUGGGAAGCUAAGCAGGGUCGGGCCCGGUCGGGACCUGGAUGGGAGACCACCAGGGAAGCAUACCAUACCAUACC
This is a ribosomal RNA of Prolemur simus (greater bamboo lemur), 118 nucleotides long. The record is from Ensembl. Lineage: Eukaryota; Metazoa; Chordata; Mammalia; Primates; Lemuridae.